GGCGAUCAGAUACCGCCCUAGUUCUGACCGUAAACGAUGCCAACUAGCGAUCCGCCAGUCGACUCAUCGCUCUGGUGGGGAGCUUCCCGGAAACGAAAGUCUUCCGGUUCCGGGGGAAGUAUGGUUGCAAAGCUGAAACUUAAAGGAAUUGACGGAAGGGCACCACCAGGAGUGGAGCCUGCGGCUUAAUUUGACUCAACACGGGGAAACUCACCCGGCCCGGACACCGUAAGGAUUGACAGAUUGAUAGCUUUUUCAUGAUUCGGUGGAGGGUGGUGCAUGGCCGUUCUUAGUUCGUGGAGCGAUUUGUCUGGUUUAUUCCGAUAACGAGCGAGACUCUGGCCUACUAAAUAGUUGACGCAUUGCCACUGUGCGCACAACUUCUUAGAGGGAUUUUCGGUGUUUUCAACCGCACGAAAUUGAGCAAUAACAGGUCUGUGAUGCCCUUAGAUGUCCGGGGCUGCACGCGCGCUACACUGGCAAACGCAACGUGCCUGUCCUGCCCCGAAAGGAGCGGGUAAACCCCUGAAAUUUUGCCGUGAUUGGGAUCGGACAUUGCAACUAUUGUCCGUGAACGAGGAAUUCCUUGUAGGGGGAGUCAUCAACUCGCCCCGAAUACGUCCCUGCCCUUGUA
Molecule: ribosomal RNA, 634 nt
Filed under: Rotylenchulus reniformis
Lineage: Eukaryota; Metazoa; Nematoda; Chromadorea; Rhabditida; Hoplolaimidae
Description: SSU rRNA
Rfam family: Eukaryotic small subunit ribosomal RNA
Source: RNAcentral